This is a regulatory RNA element of Bacilli bacterium VT-13-104, 178 nucleotides long. It matches the Rfam family "Lysine riboswitch aptamer". From Rfam's summary of the family: Riboswitches are metabolite binding domains within certain messenger RNAs that serve as precision sensors for their corresponding targets. NCBI's taxonomy places the organism in Bacteria, Bacillati, Bacillota, Bacilli. The record is from Rfam.
AAGUAAGGUAGAGGUGCAAAGACCAUCAGUACUUAUGUAGAGGAGAAUGAGAUCUGACGAAACAUAAGGAAAGGGGAAUUUGCCGAAGCGGAGGGAUUCUCAUUAUCCCAACGUUGGGUCUGUAUUGAAUAAGUACAGAACUGUCAUAUAGGGGACUAUAUGGGGGGCUAUCUAGCUA